Molecule: long non-coding RNA, 910 nt
Organism: Oryza sativa Japonica Group (Japanese rice)
Lineage: Eukaryota; Viridiplantae; Streptophyta; Magnoliopsida; Poales; Poaceae
Source: RefSeq, a predicted model, not a curated record
UCCGGGAACGCGACCGCAUCAACUCGGAACACCGUCGCGCUCUGGACGCCGCUGCUUCGCCUUUGCUCGUCGCCCAGCUUCCACGGUUCGUGACAAGCUGAGCCACUUCGCCACGAGCUUCAUCAACCUCUGUAGAUCAAGAAUCCCGAAGGAAUCGACGCGAGGUGGACCACGGUGGGAGAUCCUCUUCUUUUUCUUCCAACUCUGGCCGCCGACGCCAUUCCUUUCUUUCUCCUUCUCUGUAGAAGCCCGGGAGUACACCGUCGACGACGACCGUAGCAGUUGCGCCGUCGCCGAACCAGUACACCGUCGCCAAGACUUCGCCGAGCCGCGUUUGAUUCUUGAUAAUUGCAUAAUCGGUGAAGAAGUGGAUUAGGUGCUAACAAUUCUCUAAUCAAGGCAAGUUUUCUCCUCCCAUCCUUUGAACACAUUGAAUCCCAUGAUUUGAGGAAUGAAAAUAUUUGUUUGCAAAGUUGCAUGUGAACUUAGACUAUAUCGGUAUUUGAAAUUGGGUUAAGGUAGUUAUGACCUAUUUGCUGCAUAUUCCACCUUGAAUAAUUGAUCCUCUUGCUGUUUGAACCCCUAGAAAUGAUUAGAGUACAUUCAUUGUGCUCAAAUGGGUUUAUAUAUGCUCUAUGUGCAACUACUUGCUUAGCCAUGCUUAGAAAUAUGCAAAUGCUCAUUCCAUCUAUAAUUAAAAUGUGAAUUUUGAUACAUGAACCCUUGCUGGAAUAAAAUGAAUAUGAUGGGUAUUUGCGAACUAAAAUGUGUAAAAUGUGAUUUUAUACUUGGGCGGCAAGUGGUGUGCAUAUGGUGUUAGUUGCAUACCGAUAGGGGAAGUGUUUGCCCAAGCCCAUAAGGACCGAACUUGUGUCACCCAUUUAAAGUUAUCCGUACAUCCACAUGUGCU